Molecule: small nucleolar RNA, 216 nt
Organism: Carlito syrichta (Philippine tarsier)
Lineage: Eukaryota; Metazoa; Chordata; Mammalia; Primates; Tarsiidae
Source: Ensembl
AAGAUUAUAUUUUCAGGGAUCAUUUCUAUAGUUCAUUGCUAAAGAAGUUUCUCUGAUCACAUAGAACACCAGAAACCAUGAGGAGGAGGCACAGCAUCCUCUCUGAGUGUGAAGCCGGCUCUCAGUGUUGCUUCAUUGCAACUACCAUUUACCCUUGAUGAUCGUUCUUGCUUUCCUUCAGGGGAGCAAGAGGGAGAGGAUGCAGUCUGAGUGAAA